Molecule: long non-coding RNA, 1522 nt
Organism: Pecten maximus
Lineage: Eukaryota; Metazoa; Mollusca; Bivalvia; Pectinida; Pectinidae
Exons: 6
Source: RefSeq, a predicted model, not a curated record
UUAAUACACAAUGAUAGUAUUGGUCAUUAAUACACAAUGAUAGUAUUGGUCAUUAAAACAAUGAUAGUAUCGGUCAUUAAUACACAAUGAUAGUAUCGGUCAUUAACACACAAUGAUAGUAUCGGUCAUUAAUACACAAUGAUAGUAUCGGUCAUUAAUACACAAAGAUGCAUAUGAUGUCUGUCAUUAAUAUACAGGCAGAUCGUAUCGAUCAUUAAUGCACAAAUAUGAUGUCGAUCAUUAGUACACAGAUAAAGAUAGUAUCGGUCAUUGAUACACGGGGCCAAAAUUGUGUGUAGCUGAUGCACAACAAAAUAGCAUCCGUCUAUGGUGGCUGAUUUCUGCCAUUUCGUUGUUUCGUUCUGGCGCCCCGACAGAACGAUAAUCUUCGUCUUUUCGCCCCCGAUAAUUAGCGUUAUGGCGCCGGCGCUAAUCAUCGUCUUUUCGCCCUGCCAUAACGCUGUUUAUCGUUAUGGCGCCCCGCUAAUCAUCGUCUUUUUGCCCCGCCAUUACGCUGUUUAUCGUUAUGGCGCCCCGCUAAACAUCGUCUUUCCCCCCGCUUAACAUCGUUAUGGCGCCUUCCGGCUAGUCAUGCGCUGAGCAAUCUUUCAUAGAAGAUGGCGGAGCAAAGCAGUUACACCAGCCUUUUGAACGGAGACAAUACCACUAAACAGGAUCUAAUUAGAGAAUAUCAUUUUGCUGGCUACACGUACUCCGAGAUUAUUCUUAUUCUUUCUACCGACAUCACGUGUCUAUAAGCUGUAGACAACGACAUUGGAUACUCAGAUCACUAGGUCUUCGUCGUCAGCAUGCGGUAACGGAUGAGGUAGCUCAAGCUAUACAGCAAGACAUAUAAUGCAGUGUAUCAUCGCUUGGUUAUAGAAGCAUGACGCGUCGUCUUUUGACAAGGCAUGGAAUAGUAGUUGCAAGGAGCAAUGUGUUGACUCUUCAGCGCAAACUGGACCCGGACGGUGUUCGUAGCAGACAGAUGCACCGAAGGACCGAGUAUCCUUAUACAUGUCGAUGGCUAUGACAAACUGAAACGAUUUGGUUUUGCCAUUCACGGUGCAAUAUGCGGGCACAGUUGAUUACAAGAUCCUGGUGGGUAAUGAAGACAUCGAAGGAGUGAAAGAACUCUGUACUUGUGAAAAUGUUCAAGUUAAUUCUGAAGUAGUCACUGUAUUAUAACAGGAUAUGGGUGAGAAGAGGCUUAGAAAGCCAUCCACAUAUAGGGAAGCUCUGGAACUGUGGAGAACUAGUUCACUACUGGUACUAAGACAAUCUACACAUAGCCUAAACAAUGGCAUAGUAGAGCAAAAUUUGAGUGCGCUUUUUUUUCUGUCUCACUAUCAGCCCUACGUACAGACCGCGUAUAAAGGAUAAUAUUUACAGUAAUCAAAAUAUGUGAAGAGAAAUACUAAUAGGUUUUGAAGGCAAAAGUGAAUUUCAGUUCGAAAUUCUUAUGGUUAGCCUGAACUCAUAUGUAUACCAACACUUCUUGUAUUUUACAUGCAACUACACU